RNAcentral lists this ribosomal RNA (253 nucleotides) under uncultured bacterium. RNAcentral's name for it is "partial 16S ribosomal RNA". It matches the Rfam family "Bacterial small subunit ribosomal RNA", at positions 524 to 776 of the family's 1533-position model. The record is from RNAcentral.
UACGUAGGGGGCAAGCGUUGUCCGGAAUUAUUGGGCGUAAAGAGCUCGUAGGCGGUCUGUUGCGUCGGCUGUGAAAACCCGGGGCUCAACUCCGGGCCUGCAGCCGAUACGGGCAGACUAGAGUUCGGCAGGGGAGACUGGAAUUCCUGGUGUAGCGGUGAAAUGCGCAGAUAUCAGGAGGAACACCAAUAGCGAAGGCAGCUCGCUGGGACGGUAUUGACGCUAAGGCGCGAAAGCGUGGGGAGCAAACAGG